This is a long non-coding RNA of Grus americana (Whooping crane), 2510 nucleotides long. RefSeq lists it as uncharacterized. Lineage: Eukaryota; Metazoa; Chordata; Aves; Gruiformes; Gruidae. The transcript is spliced from 7 exons. The record is from RefSeq and is a predicted model, not a curated record.
AAGCCGAGUACCAGAGCGACUCCACCUCCAGGCCCACCUCUUCUGCCACCUCUCGCCGGACUGUCUCCUCCACAUUUUCACCUAGGAGCAACAAAAGUUAGACCCUGUAUGUCCGAGGCCACCACGCCGGAUCAGAGACCGCCUUACCCAUGUCGCAGAAGCCUGACAGAGCAGUGUACAUCCCCUGGGGAAACAAGGGCUGUCGUGCGAGGAGGCACCGGCUCCCAUCAGACACCAGGGUAAUAACCACUGGAGACAUCUAGCAAAUGCAUCAAAAAGCAAAGCAAGAAGUUCAGACCAAACAAGUUCCCCUCCAUGCGACCCAGACCCUGUGUUGCUUACCUGUUCAGGUGCUCACCUGUGGAUAGUAAGUUAUUCCGCUGGCAUGGCAGACACGCUUGCUGCCAGCUAUGUUUUUCUGAGUGGGCUGCCCGGUUUUGCUACAGUACUGGUGGGAAUCGUGCCACCGGAGAAGGGACUGCGCCUGCGAACACCCAGAGAGAAACGCAAAUCUUACUUAUACCUGGGGCAAAGAGAUGAUUCAAUCUCCCUGAAUGAUACUUUGCUGUCUUCUUCCCAGCAUGGAUAAACUCUGAUUCUGUUUGGAAGCCUCAGAAAGAACUCGAAGCCCUUUAAGGAGGAAGUUACAUUUGCUUCGAUUUACAGACACAUAAGCAGUGCCAGAGAAGAGUCUGAGAGUCCUUCCUUUCGGUAAAGGAACCACAAUGCCAGAUUUUGGUUCGGCUCACUGAAAACUCAGAGACAGUAAAAACUUGAUCUCAGGAGGCCAGCCCAAACUCCCAUCAUGCAUGCAAGCCUCGCCUACACUGUACGCCCGCAGGAGAUACUGUACUCCAUGCGAGAUGCAAUCCUGUGAGUGAAGUGAAGGCCUGGCCAUACAAACGCGUCUCUGACAGCUUCCUCUCGCUUACUAAUUUGAGCUUUGGCAGGCCACCAGAGGAAGUGAAUCCCUGAGACUCUCUUGAUGCAAGAAGAGCAAACAAAAGGAGCAGGCAAGGAGGCCACAAGCAGCGGGAACAAAUACUUGCGAUCUCUUACAUGGACAAGAUUGCAAAAUAGGCAAAUCUUUGGUCCUGUGUCACUAAGUUGGUUUUUUUUUUUUAUAUCUGGGUUUGUAAAAUACACAUAUUGGUAUUAGCAGUUGGUAAAAGAUUUUUUCCAAGCCAAAGAUGUGGCUGGAAAAUGUAAUUCUAGGCUAAUAAUGGUUAUACUAGUAAUCUUGCUUUUUCUUGCUGUUCUGGUUUGUGUCUUUCCAGCUGCCCCCAAUAAGCAGAAACAAGCAUUAGAAUUGCUAACAGCUGGCCCUUGCAAAACAACUGUUAAUUGCUGCAAAUACAUAAAACUAGCAACCUCCCAUUGAAAACUUAUGGUCAAGCCACAAGAAACCUCUUGGUACAAAAAUAUUUCUUUUUUAGGAAGAGCCCAAGGAAAGACAAACCACUUCUUUAAAGAGAAAGUUAAUGAGUACUCUUUCCCUCUAUCAUUAAAUUUUAGAUGCAAACUAACCAAAUCUGACCUUGCUCUAAAGUUAGGCUUGCAGCGUAUAUUAUGUUUAUGAGGGACUCCUACAGUUUCUCGUACUCAGGGUGGGGACCUUGAAAGACAGAAACUGCUUAAUUUGAUGCUGCUGAUUACAACUUGCACAGGUGUAGAGGAGGCACCUCUGAAUGACAUUUUAGUAGGAUUUGCUUAUUUUAGCUUAUUGGGGUAGCACGUGUGUGUAUUCUCUCUUUUCCCCUCCCUGCUGCUGCUGGUCAAGGAAGAUCCUCAAACUCUGGCACUGAUUUGCCACAGUGCACAGAAUAAUGGAUGAUACAGGAUACUUUCUCUUGACUGCAGGUGAUGACUUCAUUUUGUGUCAUUUCAUUGACACAACACUGUUUGGAUGUGUGGGAAACUAGAUGAGGCUUUAUCCCUUUACAAAGUGUAAUCCUAAGUUGUUAAUACACUUAAAAAAGCUGAGCAGUGCUGUGAGCUAGCUCAGUAUAUGAAAAUCACUCACCUGUGUCUUCAACGCUGCUUGCAGGUCACGGCCCAUUGUCUCUAAAAGGAUACUGAAGAACUGGAAAAGGUUGAAAGAGGUCAAGGAGCAUGAUCAAAGACCUGGAAUACGGCCCCUGCAAGGAACUAGGUAGGCUCUGAUACUUCAGCCUGCAUAAAGGAUAGGUGCUAACUGUUUUGUGUCUCUUCCCCUGUGUAGGAACCUGGUUAAUCAAAUCUUAACUACCUGGAGCCACGUUCCCGGUGAACAAACAGAGGUGGUUUUCCAUGCCUUGGCUAAGGGAUGGCGCAACUGCUAGCUUUUGAAUACUGCCUUGCACGACGCCUUAGUGAUCAGCAAAGUUUAGAUGAAGGCCCUGGAAGGAGGGGAGGCUGCUUCAGACACGGAAUCUGGAAACAUCGUCACCUGGGCUAGAGAAGGUAUUGGCUACCAGCAAGGACUUGGAUGAUGGAACAGAAAGUGCGCUGUGAAAUACAGCGGGAUGACA